Molecule: long non-coding RNA, 610 nt
Organism: Artibeus jamaicensis (Jamaican fruit-eating bat)
Lineage: Eukaryota; Metazoa; Chordata; Mammalia; Chiroptera; Phyllostomidae
Exons: 2
Source: RefSeq, a predicted model, not a curated record
UGGUGGUGAAUUGAGCCAUCCUGGAAUUCACGCCAAGGUAGAAAUAACAUUUUUUUUAAUUCCAAAAGGAGAACUGAAGGAGAGAGAGCUUAAUCACAUUAGGCACCUUCAACUCAAGCAUUGGAGCCCAGAGGCCUCCAGCAGCGGAGCUGGGACAGCACGUAAAGGAACUGAACUUAUGACCCACCCUGACUCCAAGAGACCACAAGCAGUUCCACCUUUGUGCCCCAGGAGGAUGGCAAGCCGUCAAGAUGGUACCUGACCCACUGUGCUCCAGAGAGAGACAUCCCACCACCCAGGACAUAGAAUACAGGUAAAAAGCUGCCCAGGCCUCAGAAGCCCAGGACACAGAUAAAGAAUCAGCAGUCAGCGGACAAAAGGAUGCUGGGAAAUCACCAGACUGCAGCUUCUAUCCGAUUAACCUUUUCCUGAAUUCCAGAUCCCCUACAUACACUUUUUACCCCCCAACAUUCCAAAUCCCUUACCUACACUUCCUUCCUCCUUAUAAAAAGGCUGGCUUGAAAGGAAAUGUAAGAUGGUCUGUUAGGGUACAUGACCCACCGUCUUCUCAGAUUGCUGGCCCUUUGAAUAAAGCGCCCGUGAGGAUUCA